UUCAAUAAAACAAAAUUCACUCUAAAAUCCCCAAAUCUAUUGUGUAAACCCUAAAUUGGGAACCAAUUGUUCAUGAGAGUUGAAAACAAAACCCCGAUGGGUGCCAAAAAUUGAGUCCACUUUAAUGGUGUAACCCUGCAAUUAGCAUCAAAUGGAGGAGCCGAUCACUGAGAGCGAUGAUUACGCCAGCCACCGUCAGCUUGUUGUCGUCGAAGACGUCACCCCUAUAUCUCAUUCAUUUUCCAGUUCAUCUUCAAUCACUCCGUUAGCCGCUAACGAUAGUUCUCCCCUUCAAAAGAAGAAAAUGCCGCCCAGACGAAACACAAACACCAAUCCGUUACCACGAACUGAGGCGGAACUCAACGAGCGCAUAUCACUGGCAAUAGCGCAGCAUGAAGCCCUCCGCUCUGAACAAAGCGGUGGCACUUCAGGAAACAAUCCUCCCACUGGCUGCACCUACAAACAGUUUCUAGACUGUAAGCCCUUGAACUUUGAUGGCACAAGAGGUGCCAUUGCUUUUAUUCGAUGGGUUGAAAAGACUGACUCAGUUCUGAGGUUGAGUAAAUGUUUGCCUGAGCAGAGAGUUACCUACAUCUCGGGAUUAUUCAUGGAUGGUGCACUCUCUUGGUGGAACCUUCAGGUUCAAACCAAGGGUGAAACUACUGCUUACGCAAUGAGCUGGGACGAGCUCAAGGAACUGAUGCGAAAGAAAUACUGCUCCAAGGCCGAGAUCCAGAAGCUUGAAACUGAGUUCUGGAACUUGAAAAUGGAUGGGCCAAAGAUUGCUGAGUACAUCCAACGUUUUCAUGACUUAUCUAGGGUUGUUCCCUAUUUGGUUGAGCCUGAGUUUAAGAGGAUCGAAAGAUUCAUUUGGGGUCUUGCUCCUCAAAUCCUGAGCAUGGUUACUGCCUCAAAGCCUCCGACCAUUUCAGAGGCUAUUGACAUGGGUGUCGCGCUCACGGAAGAGGCACUUCGUAUGGGAAAAUUCUUAAAAUUAGAGACAAACAAGAAAGAGACUCGUGUGGAGUCUUCAGGCGACAACAAAAGAAAGUUUUCAAAGCUGAAGAAAGGCACCCAAGCAAGCCAUGACAACUCACCCGCAAACAAACGAAGGGAAGCAAACCCGCCUCUUGGCACGAAAGCUUAUGGAGCCACCAAUGAGACCAGUGGUAAGGGUUAUUUGGGGACUAAGCCAAGAUGUGAUAGAUGCAAGUUUCACCAUGAUGGUCGAUGCCCGAGACCUAAGUGUGACAAAUGUGGAAAAGAUGGGCACAACAAGGAAACCUGUUGGGCAAGAUAUGCCAACCGAGGAAGGAAUGGUAACUACCACCAAGGUGGUAACAAUAAUCAGGGUGGAAAUCACAAAAACAAUCAGGAAGGGAACAACAACAACAAUAAUAACAACAAUGAAGGUGGAAAUGGUAAUGGUCGAGGCCAAGGUUGUUUCAACUGUGGAGACAUGGGGCACUUUAGAAAGGAUUGCCCUAAGGAGAAUCAAGCACGAGAAAGAGUCUUCACGAUUGGAGCUCGUGAAGCGCGCUAGGACCCGAAUGUUGUGACGGGUAGUGGCACGACUCGCGGACAUCAUCUUUGAGUGUACACGACUUCUGACGCAAACCUGAAGAUAAAUGGAUCGUGGUGCAGCAUUGUCUACAAGUUUUUGGGUUUCAAGUCUAGAUGUCAUCCAUAUUUUGGAGGGUUUGGUUUGUAUAUCCCAUCUUUGAUGAGAUAUAGAACGCAAAGCCUCGAGAAGCUUAUCUUUUGUUAAAACAAGUCCUUUGAUGGAACUUUAAAACUUAUGUUAGGUUGUAAUCUUAACUUAAUACUUGUGUUGGUUGGAAACCUAAACAACUUGUGUUUGUAAUGUUUUAAACUUAUGUAUGGAUGAACAUCGCUUAAUUUAAUGCAUGUAGUUGUUUGUUA
Molecule: RNA transcript, 1923 nt
Organism: Helianthus annuus (common sunflower)
Lineage: Eukaryota; Viridiplantae; Streptophyta; Magnoliopsida; Asterales; Asteraceae
Exons: 5
Source: RefSeq, a predicted model, not a curated record